UUGGAGGGCAAGUCUGGUGCCAGCAGCCGCGGUAAUUCCAGCUCCAAUAGCGUAUAUUAAAGUUGUUGCAGUUAAAAAGCUCGUAGUUGAAUUUCGGGGUUAGUAGGUUGGUCAUGCCUCUGGUAUGUACUGGUCUCACUGAUUCCUCCUUCCUGAUGAACCGUAAUGCCAUUAAUUUGGUGUUGCGGGGAAUUUGGACUGUUACUUUGAAAAAAUUAGAGUGUUUAAAGCAAGCUAACGCUUGAAUACAUUAGCAUGGAAUAAUGAAAUAGGACGUUCGAUCCUAUUUUGUUGGUUUCUAGGAUUGACGUAAUGAUUAAUAGGGAUAGUUGGGGGCAUUAGUAUUCAAUUGUCAGAGGUGAAAUUCUUGGAUUUAUUGAAGACUAACUACUGCGAAAGCAUUUGCCAAGGAUGUUUUCAUUAAUCAAGAACGAAAGUUAGGGGAUCGAAGACGAUCAGAUACCGUCGUAGUCUUAACCAUAAACUAUGCCGACUAGGGAUCGGAUGAUGUUAAUUUUUAGUGACUCAUUCGGCGCCUUAC
This 541-nucleotide ribosomal RNA is filed under the name Rhizophagus sp. (in: glomeromycetes). RNAcentral's name for it is "SSU rRNA". It matches the Rfam family "Eukaryotic small subunit ribosomal RNA", at positions 548 to 1091 of the family's 1831-position model. The record is from RNAcentral. Lineage: Eukaryota; Fungi; Glomeromycota; Glomeromycetes; Glomerales; Glomeraceae.